This 377-nucleotide ribosomal RNA is filed under the name uncultured organism. RNAcentral describes it as "partial 16S ribosomal RNA". It matches the Rfam family "Bacterial small subunit ribosomal RNA", at positions 525 to 896 of the family's 1533-position model. The record is from RNAcentral.
GGGGGGGGGGCAAGCGUUGUUCGGAAUUACUGGGGCGUAAAGGGGCGCGCAGGCGGCCUGGGCAAGUCCUUCGUGAAAUCCCACAGCUCAACUGUGGAACUGCGGAGGAUACUGCUAGGCUUGAGUCCGGGAGAGGGGAGUGGAAUUCCCAGUGUAGCGGUGAAAUGCGUAGAUAUUGGGAGGAACACCAGUGGCGAAGGCGGCUCCCUGGACCGGUACUGACGCUGAGGCGCGAAAGCUAGGGGAGCAAACGGGAUUAGAUACCCCGGUAGUCCUAGCUGUAAACGUUGAGCACUUGGUGUGGCGGGUGUCGACCCCUGCCGUGCCGAAGCUAACGCAUUAAGUGCUCCGCCUGGGGAGUACGGUCGCAAAGGCUG